Molecule: non-coding RNA, 27 nt
Filed under: Rattus norvegicus (Norway rat)
Lineage: Eukaryota; Metazoa; Chordata; Mammalia; Rodentia; Muridae
Source: RNAcentral
GGGCAAUCGAUACUUUACCAUGAUGAA